CUGUUGAGUGCCUCUGGGACCUGUAUUUUUCUUGCUGGGGUGGGAUUUAUUCCGCUUCUCCCGUACUCCUGCAUCUCCAAGGCCAGUGGAGGACACCAGGGGACAGCUGGCUGAGAUCAAGGAUUAACGUCAAGGAAUUUCUUCAUCGUCUCCAUCAUCAAAUUCUACUUAACAUGCUCUGCCCAUUCCAAGAAAAAAAGAGGAAUGAAUGUGAACUCUUUUUGUACAUACAGCCAUUUACUCAAAAAAUGCAGCCGGCAGAGAUUCCACAGCUGGGAAGCUGACUGGUAAGCACCCUGUGUAAGUGAACGCGCUCAGUGGGAUGGAAGGAAGAGUACUGAGGGGACGCGGG
This is a long non-coding RNA of Homo sapiens (human), 352 nucleotides long. The record is from Ensembl. Lineage: Eukaryota; Metazoa; Chordata; Mammalia; Primates; Hominidae.